GAAUGGUCUAGAAUCGAUCUUCGGCUAUGACAGAGAUCUGUCUCAAUAUUUUUCGAAUCGAGCAUGUCGCAUGCCUACUUGCCAUAAUGUCUUCCGGAUCGAGCUGAGGCUAUGAUAGUGUUCACGAGUUAUCAUGGUGUAUAAAAAAAAAAAAAAAAAAAAAGAGGCGUAGUGUAUUUAUUUUUUGUCUCGUGUACUUAUCUGCUGUUGGUCGUCGUAGUAACAAUGAAAAGAGUUGAGAUUUUCAUCUGACACAAAUGCCAUGAACCUCUCUCUCUAUAGUAUCAUCUCUCUCUCUCCCUCCAUCCCAAAACGAUGUCGUUAUUGCCUUCUCAUUUCUCGCCGACUCUCCUCCUCUCCUCCCCGUCGCCGCCACUUCCGCCGCCGUCUCCUCCAUAAAAAGUUCACCAUUGAAGAAGCUCCACCGUCCGAUCAAAAUCUCCAAUUCAUCCUUACCGUCGAUAAUUUGCCUACCAAAUCCUUAUACUCAUUCAAGGACCUUCUUCACUCCAAGCUCGAUGAAUUCGUCCACUCAGGCCGAGCUGCCAUUGACGACUUGCAAACUCUCAUCCGUAUUGAUAGUAAUGACGGCAGACUUCUCUUCUCCUGCAGAAGGACCACUGUUAAAUUCGUAGGAACUCUAUUACUCACCAGUUUCUUAGUUAUUUUCACUCUUAGAACUAUUUUUAAGCUAGUGCUGGGGUUACGACACAACACCCGAAACAACAAUGUUGAAUUAGUGUAUAAAAGAGACCGUAGUUUGGGUGGAAGAGAAGUACUUGUUGCUAAAAAUGAGAUCACGGUUGAUAGGAAGAAACCUAAUGUGUUGGAUGGUGAUGACGUGAACAGUAAUUGGGGUUGGGCCAGUCGAAUUAGGAGGCGAAAGAAGAAGAGUUCGGUGGAGCAGUUGCCGAAAUGGUGGCCUGUUUCGAGUUCUGGUUCGGAUCAAGUUGGGGCAGAGAAUCAAGAAGAGUAUCAGAGAAUGGCCAAUAGAUUGAUUCGAGCCAUCUUGGACAAUAGAAUGACAGGGAGGGACAUUUUGGCGGAUGACAUUAUUCAAUUACGGCGCAUAGGGAGGAUAUCAAACGUGAAAGUUUCAUUUGAUACUGAGAAUGCACGUGAUACCCUUUAUCGCGUGGCAGUCGACUUUGUUCUUAAUUAUUGUGAAAGCACUGCAAGUCAGUCAGCUUUUGUUCUAAUUGAUGGCGAGGAAGCACAAAAGUUCGUUGCUGGGCUUGCUGAUAAUGUUGGACUUGAGAGUACUCGGGCUGCAAGAAUGGUGUCUGCAGCUGUUGCCGCACGUACUAGGUCAAGGUUCUUGCAAGCUUGGGCCUUGGAAAUACAAGGAAAACAUUCUGAAGCUGUGGUGGAACUGUUUAAAGUCUGUGUCAUUCACCAGAUAUUUCCUCCUGAAGAGUUUUCGCCUGAGAUGGAGAUGGUGGCUCGUGGACUUGAGAAACAUUUAAAACUAGACCAACGGGAGUUCCUAAUGAACACUCUUCUGCGUGUGUGUGGUGAUGAGACCAGGAGAAGUGUGGCAGAAGCAUUGGGUCUGGUAUGCCUAGUUUAUUACUCCCCUUCCCUAUCUAGUAGAUCUUGAAUUUGUUGUUCAUUGUUGUUGUGCUUAGACGUGAGUGACGUUUCCAAUCUCGAAGUGGCAACUCCUGUCAAUUUCACCUGUUCUUGUGCUAUGCGAGAGAAUUUUUCCUAGAGCUGUGUAAAAUAGAUCUUAACAAGCAGUGUGGAGAAGCAUCAAUUCUAUCCUCAGUUUGUACUCUGUGCUCUUGUAGAUUCCAAGAAAAUUAACCUGCUCUAAUUUGGGCCUCUUAUCAAAAAUAAUUUUCUACUCUCUUCAGUCCUCUCCUUGAGGCUUGAGCAAGAAAAUGUGGAAGUUUUUCUUUCCCAGUUGGUUUUGGUGUUUAGUUGCACAUUACUAAUAGUUGGAAAAGAGUUCGAUUCUGGAUGUGACGGUGUCUUGUGGCUUGUGGCGUGGCUGUUGAGAAGUGGUGGAGCCUUCUUAUGCUAAGGGGUGUCAAUUGACACUCCUUCCUCAGAAAAUUAUGCUGUUUUUUUUACAUGUCUACCGUUUAUAUUUUGACAUCGCUCAACAAAAUUCUUUGCUCCGCUACUGCUGGAAGCAUUGUAGUUACUGUAAUAAAAAGAGUGAUCAUUUAGAAGAAUAUCCAACUGAUCUGCACACUUAAUCUCACUCUAUUUUCUGAGGAGAAGAAUGAAUCAACCAAAUGUCGGAGGCUCUUAUUCUGGUGAACUUCCAGAAAAUAUUUCCUUGGGACUAAAAUGAGUAUUUUCUGAGAUUUCAAAAUUCAAAGAAAAGACUGAACAUUUUAGCAAAUACUAGAGAGUUUAAGGAAUGGAAAACUACAAAGGCCCUGAAGAUUACGUUUACACUCGAGUUAGAGCUCCAAAGAGCUAUGGAUCUUUUCACAUUAUGCAAGUGACUUGGUAGAUUCAUGGAAGCAUCAUUCCUUUUGUGUCUACUCCCAUGUCUUUUUGUUCUUUUCAAGCAACCGGAGUUCAUAAAGAGUCCUAAAUUCUUAAAUCAACACAGAUUUCAUCCACACUUCCCCAAUCUCUGGGAAGUUCCUUCAUUCUAUUAUCCCCAACGCCAGCAGCGCGAUAAAGCAUCUUAUUACCAUGGAUAUUGGAGUACUGUUGGAUCUUCUGUGAGAGUUUGUAGACAUAUCUGAGCCAAGUCCAGCUAGAGCUGGGACAGUCUUGGGCUACUGAUCUUGAUUGUGCAAUGCUUAUUGCCAGGGUUAUCUGCUAUUAUAAUUGCUCGCGUUAUCCUUUAAAAUAUAAUGUGGUCUUAUUUAACCUCAUGGUACUAAUUAUAUCUGCCAUUUACUUGCUUCGCAGAUUUGUAAAUUGAUAUUGCAGUUUCUCCCUUGCCCUUUAUUUGUUGUUUUUUCUGGUUCUUGAUGAUUUAUUUUCACUUGUUCUCUUCUGCAGAUGUACUUGAAGGAUAACAUCGUUCAUCAACAAGAGAACAAAUAUACGUAGAUCAGAAACUGAAUUGUGUACUAUUGCUGCGUACAGGAAUUGAUUUUUAAAGAUGAAUAAAGUUUCAUACUCAAAAGGACAUUGGUCUACAACUAGUACUACCUGUAUCCAGUUAACCUUCCAAAAUGCUUCGAGUGGAUUAAUUAUUGAAUGUAUCAUGUAAAAGAUGAGCCCUAAGAAGAACUUAUAUUCUCUUAGAGAAUCUCCGAUUUAUGUUGGCCGGUGUUGUACACGAGCACGAUAGGUUUAUAAAAUCACUUGAACUACUAUUUACCUAUUUUUAA
RNA transcript from Capsicum annuum, 3305 nucleotides. RefSeq lists it as uncharacterized. Lineage: Eukaryota; Viridiplantae; Streptophyta; Magnoliopsida; Solanales; Solanaceae. The record is from RefSeq and is a predicted model, not a curated record. The transcript has 8 exons.